UUCAGCAGCUAUAUCAUGCUAUAACUCACAACUGGCAGCCCACUGAAGCUAAGCAGGUGUGAGCCUGCACAACACCUGGAUGGGUGUCCUCCUGGGAAAGCUAAGGUUGCUGCUGGUU
RNAcentral lists this ribosomal RNA (118 nucleotides) under Lepisosteus oculatus (spotted gar). Lineage: Eukaryota; Metazoa; Chordata; Actinopteri; Semionotiformes; Lepisosteidae. The record is from RNAcentral.